RNA transcript from Loxodonta africana (African savanna elephant), 4786 nucleotides. It is a transcript of the gene named XK related 4, with no coding region annotated. The transcript is spliced from 3 exons. The record is from RefSeq and is a predicted model, not a curated record. NCBI's taxonomy places the organism in Eukaryota, Metazoa, Chordata, Mammalia, Proboscidea, Elephantidae.
AUGCUGCCUUGUGAAAGUAUACAUCAUCUGUUAAAAAUAAUCUAAUUUGAACCUGAUCAAAUUUCUAACAAUAACUACUCAUUUGCAGAAAAUACAAGGGACAGAUAUGUUAAACACACCGUGCAAAUACAAUCAUCAAAGUCAAGACAACAAAAACAAUGUGAAAAAUAAUAAUUAAAAAAAAAAGAAACGGCAGGGGAAUCCAUGGUGUAAAAGAGACUUAAGAUACUUAAGACCCAUGUAUGGGUCUUGCUUGGGUUGCCUUUCAAACAAACGGUUAAAAAAAAUGUUAUAGUCAGGAAAUAUGAACACUUAAUAUAUGAUAAUAUUAGGGAGGUAAUGUAUUUAUGUUUUAGGAUGAUUUUUAAUGAAAUAUUCACGGUCAAAUGAUAUGAUGUCUAGGCUUUGGGGAGUAAGCCGAGCUGUAAGUGAGGAAGGACUUGGAGUGUAGCCAUCAUUGCUUAAUCUGGGUGGUAGGUAGAGUGGAUUCAUUACAUUUUUUUCUCUUUUCUAUAUUUGAAGUUUUUUAAUAGUAAAAUGUUUUUUUUAAGACAUCAGGAGGAUUUAUAAGCACAUACGGUUACUACUUGAGACAUGCUUUGUGUCCUGGGAGAAAUCCCUCUCAGGAAUACACCUGGCGAACUAAACGGAAAGGGUAGGUGUAGAUUUUGAAGGUCGUAAAUGCAUCUGUAUCUGAGUGUCCGCCUGCCUUUUACCCUACUCUUCUUCAUAACGCAAGUCCGUGGAUGCCUUUAGUGAGCACUAGAAUCGCAGUCACUUCUCAAAGUGAACAUUCAAGAAUAAGGAUGUUCUUACGCUGUUAACUUCGGGCCUUAAGUUAUAAGUCACCAAGGUAAUUGUUCCUUGUGUGUGUUUGCAUGUGGUGACCUGAAGGAAAGGAACCUGGUGUCUGAGUCACACGUUGUCGCUCACGUCCCUCUCCUUCUCCGUGUUUUCUUCCUAGGUAUUUCCAUACCAUAUACUUAGGUCUUCGAAGCCGGCAGAGUGGGGAGAACGACCGAUGGCGGUUUUACUGGAAAAUGGUGUAUGAGUAUGCAGAUGUGAGUAUGCUGCAUUUGCUAGCCACCUUUCUGGAAAGUGCUCCACAGCUGGUCCUGCAGCUCUGCAUUGUCGUACAGACUCAUAGCUUACAGGCCCUCCAAGGUUUCACAGCGGCAGCCUCCCUUGUGUCUUUGGCUUGGGCCUUGGCUUCUUAUCAGAAGGCCCUCCGGGACUCUCGCGAUGACAAGAAGCCCAUCAGCUACAUGGCCGUCAUCAUCCAGUUUUGCUGGCACUUCUUCACCAUUGCGGCGAGAGUCAUCACAUUUGCUCUCUUUGCCUCAGUGUUCCAGCUGUACUUUGGGAUCUUCAUCGUCCUGCACUGGUGCAUCAUGACCUUCUGGAUCGUCCACUGUGAGACAGAAUUCUGUAUCACCAAAUGGGAAGAGAUUGUGUUUGACAUGGUGGUAGGGAUAAUCUACAUCUUCAGCUGGUUCAAUGUCAAGGAAGGUCGGACACGCUGCAGGCUCUUCAUUUACUACUUCGUGAUCCUCCUGGAAAACACAGCCCUGAGUGCCCUCUGGUACCUCUACAAGGCUCCCCAGAUUGCAGAUGCGUUUGCCAUCCCCGCCCUGUGUGUGGUGUUCAGCAGCUUUUUAACUGGCGUUGUUUUUAUGCUGAUGUAUUAUGCCUUCUUUCACCCCAAUGGACCCAGGUUUGGGCAGUCGCCGAGCUGUGCUUGUGAGGAUCCAGCAGCUGCCUUCACUCUGCCUCCGGAAGUGGCCACAAGCACUCUACGGUCCAUCUCCAACAACCGCAGUGUGGCCAGUGACCGUGAUCAGAAAUUUGCUGAGCGGGAUGGGUGUGUGCCUGUCUUUCAGGUGAGGCCGACAGCCCCAUCCACGCCAUCCUCUCGCCCCCCACGGAUUGAAGAAUCAGUCAUUAAAAUUGACCUGUUCAGGAAUAGGUAUCCAGCAUGGGAGAGGCACGUUUUGGACCGAAGCCUCCGAAAGGCCAUUUUAGCUUUCGAAUAUUCCCCGUCUCCUCCGAGGUUGCAGUACAAAGAUGAUGCCCUUAUUCAGGAGCGGUUGGAGUAUGAGACUACUUUAUAGAGCAGAAGAAUUUGCAGGAGCCACCGGGUCCAGUGAAAGAUUGACAGUGGGCUGUGGCAAUAAUGGAACUUCAUCCUAGAGUAGGGCAAGCAGCUGUGACCUUCUCAGUCCAGCCGUCAUCAUGACUAUGGUUUGAUCCAUUGUAGCUGACUAGCUGGUGUUGGCCUCCUGUCCAAACAGCAGCCCCAAGAGCCUCAGCUACUCCACCUGAAGGAGCAACCCAGCACAGGACUCCUCGUUGUUACCAAGCUUCUGCACAGUCUUUCAACGCAUCCACCAGAGGGUAGUCAUGAUGGAAAAUUUGCCUCAAAUCCAUAGGGUGUUUUGAUAGAGUAAACUGAUCUUUACAUAAAGAUACAUUCAGUCGCACACACACAAACACACACACACAUGACAGCAGUCUUCUGUCAAAAUAGUGUUGGUGAUUUUUCUUGAUGCAAAGCUCUGGAACACAUACGCACACACACAAAAAGAGAGAGAAUAUAACCUUCAAGACUCCAGGAAAAAAAAAUAGCACUACUUAGAAAAUAAUUCAUAAAAACAUUUUCUUAUUAGGAAAUAAUACCAUGUGUGAAAAGCCUACCCGAUGGACAGUCCACUCAAGUGUGUUUACAUAUGUAUUCGAAUUGAGUGAAUGGUUAGUUUUCUACACAUUUGACGGUUUAUAUUUUAUUUUACAUUUUCCGUUGGGAACAUCCUUUAUGACAGAAAUCCUAUGCAGCACAUUUAUGGUUUUCAGUAAGAAGAAGGAGCUCACCAACUUAGUGAUGUAAACAAAUGAUAAUCAUGAUUCAGUAUUCAGUUGCAGAAAUUUAAUAAAUACAAAGGGAAGAAGUGGGAAAAAGGCAAAAGGAGAGUCUGAUUCUACACUGGGGUGGCUCCACUGGAAUGACAGGCAGGAUGGCAGGAUGGACCAGGGUUCAGGAUGCUGGAUGCAUGACUCUGUGGGAAUGCAAGCAGGCGUGACAAGAGACCACAACGUUGCCAUACCUUUCUAGUGCCAAACACUGAGUACCCGCAAGACUGAUAUGGAAGCCAGAUGGACUGAGCGCCACAGAAGCGGAUGCAAGAAUGAACAAUGAAGUUCUCCACUAUGUACAGACGUUCUUCCCCAAUCUAAGGUCAACCUGAUGUGUUUUUAGAGGCUUUGGGACACAUUUUAGUAAGUAUGAGCAGACAAAUGCAGUGAAAUAUGCUAUGAGAACUCUCUCCUGAACUGACUGAGGGCUUAUCACUAUAUCCAGCUCAAAUUUGUACGUAUUUGAAUUAUUUGUAAAGUUGCACUCUUACAAGCUUCUGGGUUUCAAAUACCUCCGUACAGCAAGUAAAAGUCACCCUGCUUUCUGUUCUGUGUCCUCCUGUCAUGGUGCUUUUUGUUGCAUUAAAAGUGCCGGUCAAACUUUGAUAGUAUUUUUUUAUAGUUGGUGCAGAGUGGAAUAACUCAUGGAUUAUUUCAAUAUUUUUGUAAUAAAAAAAUAUAGGGUAUACAUAUAGGUGUCAUCACUUUUUUUAUAGACCUGGAAUUGUUUCAGCAUCAUAGUUUCAGUAUCAUAAUCACUUGGGAUGUCAGAGUCUGGUCCCCAAAUCCCAUCCACCUGCUUCUGCAGAUUGAAAGCACUUGUCUCUUGGAAGAUCACUUGACUUUUCAAUAUUGGUGCACCCAGGAACCUGGCCAGGGGUGCUAUCAGAAUAUCAGGUGAAGAGAGAAUCCACUUAACUAGAAAGGGCUUGUCGAGACUGGCCAAUGUUUCCCAGGAAAUCAAAGAUGUAAAUGCUUACUUUCAUCUGUCCCUCAUGGCAACCUGACCACAGUGGAAGAUGUCUUAAACUGCCUCCCCUGUUUUAUUUUAACCCAGCUGAUAAAUAUUAGUCAAGUCACCAAAAAAGGAGGGGAAAAAGUUAGUUUAACUUAAUUAUUCAAUUAUUUGGACUGGCUUAAUACGGUCAACUUCUAUAGCCACCACCUGUAAUGCGUGCAUAACACAGAGGCCGCUGGCCCCAUGAUGAUAUUUGCAGGAAGGGGCAGAAGCCUCAACUUAAGACUUCUUUUGGUAUAAAGCCCCAGAGCAAUUUUUUUUAAAUCAACAAUUUUUAUUAGUAGAUGUACUUCCGUAGUACUCCGUGUCUUGAUCCUCCAAGCAAGAUUUCCACUCAAAAAUAAUAACCUUUGCUCGGAUAUGGGAAGAUGGCGUACCCACCAGUAAAGGCCCAGGAAUAUGCUCUGCUUUUCAGCACAAUCACCGUUUUAGAAGGAAAAAAGUUGAUUAUGUUGGCAAAUUCUUUACUCUCGCGCAGAACCAUGAGUUACUGGCUUCAUUAUUUCCAAGAACACUUUUUACGUGAUAAUCUUUGGAAAUCGAAUUGCUCAGCAGAACCUUUGACUCCAUGAGUAAAUAACAGAUUACAAUCUAAUAAUGUCAAUCAACACAAAACCCAACAAGCUCACUCUUCAAUCAUACUGACAUUCCUAAAUGAAAGCAUAUAUAUAGAAGGAAGAAUUUUCCAUGUAAGUCAAAGUUUGGCUCCCCCAAAUAACUGUCUUUAAAUCAACUCUUUGGGCUUUUGUGCCGUCCUACUUAGUCCUGUGUUAUCUAGCUCAGUAAUAUUCACUUUGUAGACCCUCAGUUAUUAUUCUUUGAUGGUAAUUCUGUUAACCCAAGAAAUGAGAAACAUUA